Molecule: long non-coding RNA, 1050 nt
Filed under: Phascolarctos cinereus (koala)
Lineage: Eukaryota; Metazoa; Chordata; Mammalia; Diprotodontia; Phascolarctidae
Description: lncRNA (ENSPCIG00000030847.1)
Source: RNAcentral
AGAAGAAAGCUGAAGGAAAGGAAAAGCAGGCAACCUAAAAUUGCCUGAAAGUUCCAGCCUUGCUGAUUGCAGCCCAACACAAGGUAAGCUGCCAGAAACCUACAGCUUCCAAAUCCCAGGGUAAGAGGCCCCAGAACGCAAAGCCAGUGACCAAGACCUAGGCUCCCAACACAAGAAGCUUGGGUCAGUACCCUCUGUUCCCCAGCAGGAGAGCUCAAUCUCAUUAAAAGCCAGGGAAUAAGGAAACACCAUGAGUAAAAAGAAACGUACCAUAGACUCAUAUUAUGAGAAGAGUGAAGAUCAAGACAGAAAUUCUGAAGAGGACAACAUUGUCAACAAACCCACAUCUGCAACAACAAAAGGGAAUAUGAACUGGUCUGAAGCCCAAAAAGCCUUCUUAGAAGAGCUCAAGAAGGAUUUUAAUAGUCAAAUGAGAGAGAUAAAAGAGUCCUUCAAAAAUACAAUUGGCCAGUUGGAAAAAAAAUACACUGAAGAAAACAAGUCCCUAAAAAACACAAUUGGCCAAUUGAAGAAGGAAGGAGAAAAACUAACAGAAGGGUACACUGAAGAAAACAAAUCCCUAAAAAACACAAUUGGCCAGUUGAAGAAGGAAGUACAAAAUCUAACACAAGAGUAUGCUGAAGGAAACAAGUCCCUAAAAAACACAAUUGGCCAGUUGAAGAAGGAAGUACAAAAACUAACAGAAGAAAACAAUCUGUUAAAAACUAGAAUUGGACAAAUGGAAACUAAUGUCUCUAUGACAGAGCAAGAAUCAGUCAAACAGAAACAAAAAAAUGAAAAAAUUGAUGAAAAUGUAAAAUACCUCAUCAGUAAAACAACCGACCUGGAAAAUCGACUCAGGAGAGACAAUUUAAAAAUUAUUGGACUACCUGAAAAUCAUGAUGAAAAAAAGAGCCUGGACAGUAUCUUUCAGGAAAUCAUAAAGGAAAACUGCCCAGAAGUCCUAGAACCAGAAGGGAAAAUAACCAUAGAAAGAAUCCACCGAUCACCACCUGAAAGAGAUCCCAAAUUGACAAUGCCGAGAAAUAU